GAUGAACGCUGGCGGCGUGCCUAAUACAUGCAAGUCGAGCGAACGGACGAGAAGCUUGCUUCUCUGAUGUUAGCGGCGGACGGGUGAGUAACACGUGGAUAACCUACCUAUAAGACUGGGAUAACCUCGGGAAACCGGAGCUAACACCGGAUAAUAUUUUGAACCGCAUGGUUCAAAAGUGAAAGACGGUCUUGCUGUCACUUAUAGAUGGAUCCGCGCUGCAUUAGCUAGUUGGUAAGGUAACGGCUUACCAAGGCAACGAUGCAUAGCCGACCUGAGAGGGUGAUCGGCCACACUGGAACUGGGACACGGUCCAGACUCCUACGGGAGGCAGCAGUAGGGAAUCUUCCGCAGUGGGCGGGAGCCUGACGGAGCGGCGCCGCGUGAGUGGUGGAAGUCUUCGGAUCGUAAAACUCUGUUAUUAGGGGAGAACAUAUGUGUAAGUAACUGUGCACAUCUUGACGGUACCUAGUCAGAAAGCCACGGCUAACUACGUG
This 497-nucleotide ribosomal RNA is filed under the name uncultured bacterium. RNAcentral describes it as "partial 16S ribosomal RNA". It matches the Rfam family "Bacterial small subunit ribosomal RNA", at positions 28 to 507 of the family's 1533-position model. The record is from RNAcentral.